Molecule: ribosomal RNA, 615 nt
Filed under: uncultured bacterium
Lineage: Bacteria
Description: bacterial SSU rRNA
Rfam family: Bacterial small subunit ribosomal RNA
Source: RNAcentral
CAUGCGUCGCAUUAGGUAGACGGCGGGGUAACGGCCCACCGUGCCGACGAUGCGUAGGGGUUCUGAGAGGAAGGCCCCCCACACUGGUACUGAGACACGGACCAGACUCCUACGGGAGGCAGCAGUGAGGAAUAUUGGUCAAUGGCCGAGAGGCUGAACCAGCCAAGUCGCGUGAGGGAAGAAUGUCCUAAGGAUUGUAAACCUCUUUUGUCGGGGAGCAAAAAGGCUCUGCGGAGUCGUAUUGAGAGUACCCGAAGAAAAAGCAUCGGCUAACUCCGUGCCAGCAGCCGCGGUAAUACGGAGGAUGCGAGCGUUAUCCGGAUUUAUUGGGUUUAAAGGGUGCGCAGGCGGCGUGUCAAGCAAGCGGUAAAAUAGCGGGGCUCAACCCCGUCGAGCCGUUUGAACUGGCGCGCUUGAGUUCAGGCGAGGUAGGCGGAAUUCGUGGUGUAGCGGUGAAAUGCAUAGAUAUCACGAAGAACUCCGAUUGCGAAGGCAGCUUACCAGUCUGCGACUGACGCUCAGGCACGAAAGUGUGGGUAUCGAACAGGAUUAGAUACCCUGGUAGUCCACACAGUAAACGAUGAGCGCUAGGUGUCCGGGUCGCAUGAGACUUGG